Non-coding RNA from Pangasius djambal, 67 nucleotides. Lineage: Eukaryota; Metazoa; Chordata; Actinopteri; Siluriformes; Pangasiidae. The record is from the annotation of a GenBank genome assembly.
GCAGUGGUGGCCAAGUGGUUAAGACGUUGGACUACUGAUCGUCGUGAGUUCAAAUCCCAGCACUGCC